Molecule: ribosomal RNA, 459 nt
Filed under: uncultured bacterium
Lineage: Bacteria
Description: bacterial SSU rRNA
Rfam family: Bacterial small subunit ribosomal RNA
Source: RNAcentral
GCACCCGCACAAGCGGUGGAGCAUGCUGUUUAAUUCGAAGAUACGCGAAGAACCUUACCUAGACUUGACAUCCCCGGCAAUGCUAUAGAAAUAUAGUGGAGGUUACCCGGGUGACAGGUGGUGCAUGGUUGUCGUCAGCUCGUGUCGUGAGAUGUUCGGUUAAGUCCGAUAACGAGCGCAACCCUUAUUACUAGUUACUAACAUUUAGUUGAGGACUCUAGUGAGACUGCCGGUGAUAAACCGGAGGAAGGUGGGGAUGAGGUCAAAUCAUCAUGCCCCUUACGUCUAGGGCUACAGGCGUGCUACAAUGGCUGGUACAAAGAGACGCAAUACCGCGAGGUGGAGCUAAUCUCCAAAACCAGUCCCAGUUCGGAUUGGAGUCUGCAACUCGACUCCAUGAAGUUGGAAUCGCUAGUAAUCCUGAAUCAGAAUGUCAGGGUGAAUACGUUCCCGGGUGUU